AGCCAUAUCACGUUUAAACACUAGUUUUCGUAAGAUCACCGAAGUUAAGCAACAUUGAGCCCGGUCAGUACCUUUAUGGGUGAUCGCUUGGGAAUACCAGAUGCUGUAAG
This is a non-coding RNA of Acanthosepion pharaonis, 110 nucleotides long. Lineage: Eukaryota; Metazoa; Mollusca; Cephalopoda; Sepiida; Sepiidae. The record is from the annotation of a GenBank genome assembly.